UGAUGUAAGUGUCAAAAGUAUAAAAAGUCGUUUCUGCUUGCAGAAAAAGACUUUUUUACUUGGGACACGCUAAACACCGAAAACGGAAUAAAAUGUCGUGAAUACGGCAUUUUAUGAAAGUUUGAGGUGUUUAAGGAUUGCGUGAAUUGCAUAGUAAUGUAGCAAUCCUGAUACAUCA
Molecule: non-coding RNA, 178 nt
Organism: Eubacterium sp. CAG:252
Lineage: Bacteria; Bacillati; Bacillota; Clostridia; Eubacteriales; Eubacteriaceae
Source: Rfam